RNAcentral lists this long non-coding RNA (566 nucleotides) under Lupinus angustifolius (narrow-leaved blue lupine). RNAcentral's name for it is "long non-coding RNA (LANG_LNC002541)". Lineage: Eukaryota; Viridiplantae; Streptophyta; Magnoliopsida; Fabales; Fabaceae. The record is from RNAcentral.
UUCUCACUAUCAAUUGAAGGUAAUAUUGUAUUAUUCACUUUCACUUCUUAAAAUGUGAAAACUCAUCUUCCUCAUUUCUGCUUAGCUUUUGGUAUUACCAAAAGUGGUCCAAGUGAAAUAUGGAUUCACAUUCCUUUCAAUGUUGAAAAGGAUGAAGAGGUACUGUUCUAGAACGAUGGUUUUCAUUUUUUUGGGCUAUAAUAUUUUUUCUAAAAAAUGUGCACUUUACUACUUUCUCUAUGUUUGUGGAUAACAUCAUUUUUUAUUUUUUUUCUUAAAAAAAACUCAUUAUUUUUCUUAAAAGUAUGAACUUUUUGACAUUGUGUGUUUUUGGACUGUACAUUUUUUAUGCUUUCUGUAAAAAUCAGGUCUUUACUAUUUUGGUGACAAUUAUUUUGCUGAAAAACAGUUUUAGUUCAUUAUUCAUAUUUUUGUUAAAGAUGUUGCAUUUGUUCUUGAUCUUAAAUAUGUUCAGCCAAAUAAGCUGAAAAUCAGGUUUAGAUCAUCACUUUUAGUAAAGAUCUGUCAUUUACUAUCAUCACUUUUAGUAAAGAUCUGUCCUUUAC